Molecule: non-coding RNA, 21 nt
Organism: Caenorhabditis elegans
Lineage: Eukaryota; Metazoa; Nematoda; Chromadorea; Rhabditida; Rhabditidae
Source: Ensembl
UUUAGAUCAGUGCUGUGCGGC